AGUCAUAUGCUUGUCUCAAAGACUAAGCCAUGCAUGUCUAAGUAUAAGUGUUAUACAGCGAAACUGCGAAUGGCUCAUUAAAACAGUUAUAGUUUAUUUGAUAAUCGAAUUUACAUGGAUAACCGUGGUAAUUCUAGAGCUAAUACAUGCUGGUAGGCCCGACUUUUGCGGAAGGGCGGUAUUUAUUAGAUAACAAGCCAAUAUUCCUCUGGUCUAUUGUGGUGACUCAUAAUAACUGAUCGAAUCGCAAGGCCUUUGGCCGCGAUAAGUCAUUCAAGUUUCUGCCCCAUCAGCUUUCGAUGGUAGUGUAUUGGACUACCAUGGCGUUUACGGGUAACGGAGGAUUAGGGUUCGAUUCCGGAGAGGGAGCCUGAGAAACGGCUACCACGUCUAAGGAAGGCAGCAGGCGCGUAAAUUACCCAAUCCUGACUCAGGGAGGUAGUGACAAGAAAUAACGGACCGAGGCCUUCGGGCUUCGGGAUUGGAAUGAGCCGAAUUUACACCCCUUAGCGAAGAUCGAU
This 521-nucleotide ribosomal RNA is filed under the name uncultured marine eukaryote. RNAcentral's name for it is "SSU rRNA". It matches the Rfam family "Eukaryotic small subunit ribosomal RNA", at positions 22 to 548 of the family's 1831-position model. The record is from RNAcentral.